Molecule: long non-coding RNA, 1081 nt
Filed under: Fragaria vesca (wild strawberry)
Lineage: Eukaryota; Viridiplantae; Streptophyta; Magnoliopsida; Rosales; Rosaceae
Description: long non-coding RNA (FVES_LNC004382)
Source: RNAcentral
AUAUUGGUAGUUAUCCUACUAUCUAUUGCUAUGCAUCAGUCAAAUACCCGAGGCUUGCUCCCUUUUUUCCUACUUCUUAUCGGAUUGAAGACUUGCUUUCAAAGCAAAGGCCUAAAGGAGUCCUAAACCCGACCUGCUUAUAAAGGGGCCUUCCCUCUCGUUUUCUGUCUUCGAGUUUUCUUCCUUCCGGAUUCGGGCCUUGCUUUUCUUUGUUAGUGUAAUAAUUGGCUUUACCCUUCUUUCGAGUUUUAAGAAAGUUGCGCGAAGGACGUCUUCUUCUCUGCCCUCUCCUCUCCCCACGUGCGGAAGGAAUGCAAUCGCUUACGGUUAGAUGAAGAAAUGGGCAAGUUCUGAGCUUAACUUACUUAAGUGCGUCUAGGGUCAGGCGGUACUUAAGGGAAUCUAACUCUUCAAGGACUCUUAACUCCCGUUCCCUCUUAAGACAGAAAGAAAGAUCGGGCCGGGGACACCGGUAUACUGUACUAAUAUGAGUCAGGAAAGGAAGCGAGCUCGACUAUCGACUAUUAAGGAAAGGAAAGACUGCUAGCUUAGCUCACGCGAAGCUGAGGGUCCUUAAGGAGCGCCCUAAUCGAAAUCGAAUAAGGUAAGGAGAGAGGACAAGGGGGCUUACGUGAAGCGUGAGGAAGCUUGGCUCAUUAAAGAUUCGAAGGAGAGCACAGAAAUAGAAGUGCUUUUAUCGAUCGGCUUGAUUGAACGGCUGGCUUGAUUGAGUACCGUAACUACAAUACAAUAGCUUUCUUGAGCUUGAGUAGACCGUUCGCUUUAGGGAAAAAGAGCUCCCGGGGAUUGAAUCGCUUUUAUCCCCUAACAUAGUAAUGUGAGCUUGAUCAAAAUCCUUUCCUCCUUUAUAUUAGUAAGGCCUUUACUGGAAUACUGUGCUUGCUGCUUAUGGCUCACGAUCCCUUACCUCAGCCCUUUCCAGUCUCCUUGCUCUCAAUGCCCGAGAUGCCCCCUAUUUGAGUUUGAGUAAGGUGGUCUAUCAUAAAGCGAUAGGGUAGGGCGCCUUAUUGAAAACUAAAGUCAAGCAAAAUAAAGGGUUAGAUCCAGUACAGAUGUUGAA